GGGUGAUUAGCUCAGCUGGUUAGAGCGCCACGUUGACAUCGUGGAAGUCACUGGUUCGAGUCCAGUAUCGCCCA
This 74-nucleotide transfer RNA is filed under the name Chloroflexia bacterium. RNAcentral's name for it is "tRNA-Val". It matches the Rfam family "tRNA". Rfam says of the family: Transfer RNA (tRNA) molecules are approximately 80 nucleotides in length. Their secondary structure includes four short double-helical elements and three loops (D, anti-codon, and T loops). The record is from RNAcentral. Lineage: Bacteria; Bacillati; Chloroflexota; Chloroflexia.